UUGUGCCUGGUUCCUUGUAUGCCACAAGCACAGUCCAAUCUGUUCACUGGAUUGGCUUUGCCGGUGGCUUGCAUGGAGCCAUGCAUAC
This 88-nucleotide microRNA precursor is filed under the name Ricinus communis (castor bean). RNAcentral's name for it is "mir-160 microRNA precursor family". It matches the Rfam family "mir-160 microRNA precursor family". Rfam says of the family: The hairpin precursors (represented here) are predicted based on base pairing and cross-species conservation -- their extents are not known. The record is from Rfam by way of RNAcentral. Lineage: Eukaryota; Viridiplantae; Streptophyta; Magnoliopsida; Malpighiales; Euphorbiaceae.